This is a long non-coding RNA of Aegilops tauschii subsp. strangulata, 531 nucleotides long. RefSeq lists it as uncharacterized. NCBI's taxonomy places the organism in Eukaryota, Viridiplantae, Streptophyta, Magnoliopsida, Poales, Poaceae. The record is from RefSeq and is a predicted model, not a curated record.
GCGCCGCCUCCCCCUUUCUUUGCUCUGUGCUGCCUCGCCCCUUUCUCUGCUCUGCGCCGCAAAGCUGGAUCGACGGCGACAAGCGACGCCGCGUCUCCUAACCACACCGACAGCAACGGGCUCGACGGCGACGGGCGACGCCACGUUUCCUCACCACGCCGGACGCAGACGGACGCGCCUCCCCUGGUUUCUCGCCGAACGUGACGAGCAGGAGCAGAGGCCUAUCGUCGCAACAAUAGACAAGGAAAAGGGGAAGGCGAAUGGGAAGGAGAAGGAGAAAGAGAGGACCUUGGACUCCAUUAUGAAGAGUAAGUUGCCGGUCUCGGGGACCUCCGCCUCGACGUCCCCCUGACCCCACCGGCGCUGGCGUGCGUGCCGGAAUCGCCGCUGCCUCUGGCUCCGCAAACGACUAUGAGAGGGAGGCUACAUCUUCCCAGGCAAUGGAGCAUGAUAAGCAAGUGGAGGAGGAUCAUGAAGAUGUGGAAGAGGAUGAGGAGGAGGACGAGGAAGAGCAAGAUACUUUGUUUGAGA